Molecule: non-coding RNA, 73 nt
Organism: Phrynosoma platyrhinos (Desert horned lizard)
Lineage: Eukaryota; Metazoa; Chordata; Lepidosauria; Squamata; Phrynosomatidae
Source: the annotation of a GenBank genome assembly
GCCAAUGUGUUGUAGUGGUUUUGAGUGUUUGACUACAGCUCUGGAGACCAGGGUUCGAUUCCCCUCUCAGUCA